RNAcentral lists this ribosomal RNA (834 nucleotides) under Triticum aestivum (bread wheat). Its description in RNAcentral is "partial small subunit ribosomal RNA". Lineage: Eukaryota; Viridiplantae; Streptophyta; Magnoliopsida; Poales; Poaceae. The record is from RNAcentral.
AUGGCAUCGGAGCCAGUUGCGCUACUGGACGACGCCCUCGCAGAGGUCCUCCGGCGUCUCGCGCCGCACGUCCUGGCCGAGGCCCGGCAGGUCUGCAAGGCGUGGCGCGACGCCGUUGACAACCGCCUGCGCGGCAGCAUGCUUUCGCGCUCGGUGCGUGGCAUCUUCAUCACCUUCACGGCGUGGCACUUCUCGUUCUCGGAGUUCUUCUCCCGCCCCUCGAGGGGCCCGGCGAUCGACGGAGGGCUCUAUUUCCUGCCGUACAUGGACGUCAAGGUCACAGACCACUGCGAGGGCCUUUUGCUUUGCCGUGAGUCGAGCGACGGUGCACUGCCGCACCCGCGCGAGUACGUCGUCAACCCGGCCACCCGUCGGUGGGCGCGUUUGCCCAAACGCCCCUUGCCGCACAUGCCAGGAUUAGAAUACACCGCCCACCUCGUGUUGGAGCCCGCCGUGUCGCCGCACUACCAGGUCUUUCUGAUCCCACGCGUACCAUGGCGACUGCCAGCCGAUGGCGAAUCCGACGACGACAACCCGUUGCUCAAAUUGGAAUGGCCUUCCUUGUCAUACCUCAUCCAUGUGUUCUCGUCGGUGACUCAGCGAUGGGACGAGACGACCUUCCUUCGGGAAGGGGAGGCUGCCGGGAUCAUCGCCGACAUGCAGUCAAAUUGGUGGUAUGAUCAGCCUCUUUAUCGUGCUGUCUACUGGCAAAACGCACUCUACAUCCAUUGCCAACAUAACUAUCUUAUGAGGAUGACCUUGUCAGAUCACACAUACAUAGUAAUUAAACUACCAUGUGCCAAAAUUAAAAAAAAAACUACCAUGUGCCGGUGA